This 433-nucleotide ribosomal RNA is filed under the name uncultured archaeon. Its description in RNAcentral is "bacterial SSU rRNA". It matches the Rfam family "Archaeal small subunit ribosomal RNA", at positions 475 to 903 of the family's 1478-position model. The record is from RNAcentral.
ACCAGCUCUUCAAGUGGUCGGGAUAAUUAUUGGGCUUUAAAGUGUCCGUAGCCGGUUUAGUAAGUUCCUGGUAAAAUCGGGUAGCUUAACUAUCUGCAUGCUAAGAAUACUGCUAUACUAGAGGGCGGGAGAGGUCUGAGGUACUACAGGGGUAGGGUGAAAUCUUAUAAUCCUUGUAGGACCACCAGUGGCGAAGGCGUCAGACUGGAACGUGCCUGACGGGUGGGGGACGAAAGCCAGGGGAGCGAACCGGAUUAGAUACCCGGGUAGUCCUGGCCGUAAACGAUGCAUACUAGGUGAUGGCAUGGCCAUGAGCCGUGUCAGUGCCGUAGGGAAACCGUUAAGUGUGCCGCCUGGGAGUACGGUCGCAAGGCUAAAACGUUAAAGGAAUUGGGCGGGGGAGCGACCACCGAAGGGGUGAAGCCUGCGGUUC